AGCGAACGCUGGCGGCGUGCCUAACACAUGCAAGUCGAACGUGAAAAGGGAAACCUGAGUAAAGUGGCGUACGGGUGAGUCACGCGUAGGUAAUCUACCCCAGAAUCUGGAAUAACCUGCCGAAAGGCGGGCUAAUACUGGAUAGAGCGAGGGAACUCGUAAGAGAGUUUUUCGGGAAAGGGAGCCCGCAAGGGCCUUCGUUCUGGGAUGAGCCUGCGUCUCAUUAGCUAGUUGGUAAGGUAACGGCUUACCAAGGCGAUGAUGAGUAGCUGGUCUGAGAGGAUGAUCAGCCACACUGGAACUGAAACACGGUCCAGACUCCUACGGGAGGCAGCAGUGGGGAAUCUUGCGCAAUAGACGAAAGUCUGACGCAGCCACGCCGCGUGAGUGAAGAAGGCCUUCGGGUUGUAAAGCUCUGUCGGAUGGGACGAACAUCUUCAUAGUGAAUAGCUAUGAGGACUGACGGUACCAUCAAAGGAAGCACCGGCUAACUCCGUG
RNAcentral lists this ribosomal RNA (498 nucleotides) under uncultured bacterium. Its description in RNAcentral is "partial 16S ribosomal RNA". It matches the Rfam family "Bacterial small subunit ribosomal RNA", at positions 29 to 507 of the family's 1533-position model. The record is from RNAcentral.